AUACGUAGGUGGCGAGCGUUGUCCGGAAUUAUUGGGCGUAAAGAGCAUGUAGGCGGCUUAAUAAGUCGAGCGUGAAAAUGCGGGGCUCAACCCCGUAUGGCUCUGGAUACUGGAAGACUUGAGUGCAGGAGAGGAAAGGGGAAUUCCCAGUGUAGCGGUGAAAUGCGUAGAUAUUGGGAGGAACACCAGUGGCGAAGGCGCCUUUCUGGACUGUGUCUGACGCUGAGAUGCGAAAGCCAGGGUAGCGAACGGGAUUAGAUACCCCGGUAGUCCUGGCCGUAAACGAUGGGUACUAGGUGUAGGAGGUAUCGACCCCUUCUGUGCCGGAGUUAACGCAAUAAGUACCCCGCCUGGGGAGUACGUCCGCAAGGAUGAAACUCAAAGGAAUUGACGGGG
Molecule: ribosomal RNA, 396 nt
Filed under: uncultured bacterium
Lineage: Bacteria
Description: partial 16S ribosomal RNA
Rfam family: Bacterial small subunit ribosomal RNA
Source: RNAcentral